Molecule: non-coding RNA, 184 nt
Filed under: Bacillota bacterium
Lineage: Bacteria; Bacillati; Bacillota
Description: 6S RNA
Rfam family: 6S / SsrS RNA
About the family: E. coli 6S RNA was the first non coding RNA to be sequenced, but its function was unknown until recently. It consists of 184 nucleotides that fold into an extended hairpin structure with a large single-stranded internal bulge.
Source: RNAcentral
AUAAUCCUGAAGUGUUCGUUAAAGGAACUUAUAAUUCAACCUACAGAAUUCAAACGGGAGUCCGGACGUCCAUUUGAAAGAUGUCAGGCCCGCUCCGACGGGAAGACAGGCAGCAAAGGCAGGACACCCACCUAACGUGAGUUAGGGCGUGAAUUAUUCUCCUUGACGGCAUGUCGGGAUUAUU